RNAcentral lists this ribosomal RNA (698 nucleotides) under uncultured bacterium. Its description in RNAcentral is "bacterial SSU rRNA". It matches the Rfam family "Bacterial small subunit ribosomal RNA", at positions 78 to 773 of the family's 1533-position model. The record is from RNAcentral.
GCUUGCUUCUCUUGAGAGCGGCGGACGGGUGAGUAAUGCCUAGGAAUCUGCCUGGUAGUGGGGGAUAACGUCCGGAAACGGACGCUAAUACCGCAUACGUCCUACGGGAGAAAGCAGGGGACCUUCGGGCCUUGCGCUAUCAGAUGAGCCUAGGUCGGAUUAGCUAGUUGGUGGGGUAAUGGCUCACCAAGGCGACGAUCCGUAACUGGUCUGAGAGGAUGAUCAGUCACACUGGAACUGAGACACGGUCCAGACUCCUACGGGAGGCAGCAGUGGGGAAUAUUGGACAAUGGGCGAAAGCCUGAUCCAGCCAUGCCGCGUGUGUGAAGAAGGUCUUCGGAUUGUAAAGCACUUUAAGUUGGGAGGAAGGGCAGUAAAUUAAUACUUUGCUGUUUUGACGUUACCGACAGAAUAAGCACCGGCUAACUCUGUGCCAGCAGCCGCGGUAAUACAGAGGGUGCAAGCGUUAAUCGGAAUUACUGGGCGUAAAGCGCGCGUAGGUGGUUCGUUAAGUUGGAUGUGAAAUCCCCGGGCUCAACCUGGGAACUGCAUUCAAAACUGACGAGCUAGAGUAUGGUAGAGGGUGGUGGAAUUUCCUGUGUAGCGGUGAAAUGCGUAGAUAUAGGAAGGAACACCAGUGGCGAAGCGACCACCUGGACUGAUACUGACACUGAGGUGCGAAAGCGUGGGGAGCAAAC